GAGGAAUGUAUAGCCAUAGCUACUUGCAUCAUUGUAAAAAUGAUGCAGGAUCGACUAUGUCGAAUAAAAUUCUAGGUAGAAUUAUGAUAAUGACAUUGUCUGCCUAUGUGUCUUGACCAAAUUACGUGCCAGCAGUCGCGGUAAUACGUAGAAGACUAGUGUUAUUCAUGUUUAAUCGGUUUAAAGGGUACCUAGACGAUAAAUCAAGCCUAAAAUUAAAUAAAGGGACUAAUUUACUAGAGUUACUUAUGAGGGGGUAUUAAAGUACUGCUGGUGUAGAGAUGAAAUUCUGUCAUACCUCUUUUCAAUAGAAAAAUAAUGGCACAGGUAUAGGCGAAAGCAUCCCCUUAUGUGAUAACUGACGUUGAGGGACGAAGGCUUUGUGUAGCGAACAGGAUUAGAUACCCCCGUAGUCAAAGCAGAAAAUGAUGAAUGUCAUAGAUUAGAUAAAUAAGUUUAUUCUAUAAAUGAAAGUGUAAGCAUUCCACCUCCAGAGUAAUUUGGCAACAUUGGAACUGAAAUCAUUAGACCGUUUCUGAAACCAGUAGUGAAGUAUGUUGUUUAAUUUGAUGGCCCGCAAAAAACCUUACCMCAAUUUGAAUAUUUAUAUUUUUUAUUGUUUUCUUUUUAAUUUUCUUCUGAUUUGAUUUUUCUAAAGAAAAAAAGAAAGAGAGGCGAUAUGAUAUAUUUACAAGCGUUGCACGGCUGUCUUCAGUUAAUGUCGCGAGACUUUGGUUAGUUCCAUUAAAUUAAACGUAAACCCUUMCUUUAUUUUUAUAUAGAGUAGUUCCCCCGCUAUAUGG
Molecule: ribosomal RNA, 803 nt
Filed under: Hypogymnia rugosa
Lineage: Eukaryota; Fungi; Ascomycota; Lecanoromycetes; Lecanorales; Parmeliaceae
Description: SSU rRNA
Rfam family: Bacterial small subunit ribosomal RNA
Source: RNAcentral